CCUACGGGAGGCAGCAGUGGGGAAUAUUGCACAAUGGGGGAAACCCUGAUGCAGCCAUGCCGCGUGUAUGAAGAAGGCCUUCGGGUUGUAAAGUACUUUCAGUUGUGAGGAAGGCAGUUAAGUUAAUAGCUUAGCUGUUUGACGUUAGCAACAGAAGAAGCACCGGCUAACUCCGUGCCAGCAGCCGCGGUAAUAAU
This 197-nucleotide ribosomal RNA is filed under the name Photobacterium sp. 20(27-11). Its description in RNAcentral is "partial 16S ribosomal RNA". It matches the Rfam family "Bacterial small subunit ribosomal RNA", at positions 338 to 526 of the family's 1533-position model. The record is from RNAcentral. Lineage: Bacteria; Pseudomonadati; Pseudomonadota; Gammaproteobacteria; Vibrionales; Vibrionaceae.